GGCAUUGUGGCUGAGUGGCUAGGCUAGGCCCCGCAAAGGCUUAUACAGUGGUUCGAUUCCAUUCGAUGCCU
This 71-nucleotide transfer RNA is filed under the name Maribacter polysiphoniae. RNAcentral's name for it is "tRNA-Cys". It matches the Rfam family "tRNA". Rfam says of the family: Transfer RNA (tRNA) molecules are approximately 80 nucleotides in length. Their secondary structure includes four short double-helical elements and three loops (D, anti-codon, and T loops). The record is from RNAcentral. Lineage: Bacteria; Pseudomonadati; Bacteroidota; Flavobacteriia; Flavobacteriales; Flavobacteriaceae. RNAcentral also lists the same sequence under 1 other name.